GGCAGUAUGGCUGAUUAAAGCGGUAAACUGUAAAUUUAUCCAUAGGACCCGAUUCUUACUGUCA
Molecule: transfer RNA, 64 nt
Filed under: Pareas stanleyi (Stanley's slug snake)
Lineage: Eukaryota; Metazoa; Chordata; Lepidosauria; Squamata; Pareidae
Description: tRNA-Tyr
Rfam family: tRNA
About the family: Transfer RNA (tRNA) molecules are approximately 80 nucleotides in length. Their secondary structure includes four short double-helical elements and three loops (D, anti-codon, and T loops). Further hydrogen bonds mediate the characteristic L-shaped molecular structure. tRNAs have two regions of fundamental functional importance: the anti-codon, which is responsible for specific mRNA codon recognition, and the 3' end, to which the tRNAs corresponding amino acid is attached (by aminoacyl-tRNA synthetases). tRNAs cope with the degeneracy of the genetic code in two manners: having more than one tRNA (with a specific anti-codon) for a particular amino acid; and 'wobble' base-pairing, i.e. permitting non-standard base-pairing at the 3rd anti-codon position.
Source: RNAcentral